This 220-nucleotide ribosomal RNA is filed under the name uncultured bacterium. Its description in RNAcentral is "partial 16S ribosomal RNA". It matches the Rfam family "Bacterial small subunit ribosomal RNA", at positions 111 to 334 of the family's 1533-position model. The record is from RNAcentral.
UAAUGUAUGGGGAUCUGCCCGAUAGAGGGGGAUAACUAACGGGAAACGGUGGCUAAUACCGCAUAAUGUCUACGGACCAAAGCAGGGCUCUUCGGACCUUGCACUAUCGGAUGAACCCAUAUGGGAUUAGCUAGUAGGUGGGGUAAAGGCUCACCUAGGCGACGAUCUCUAGCUGGUCUGAGAGGAUGAUCAGCCACACUGGGACUGAGACACGGCCCAG